This 344-nucleotide unclassified non-coding RNA is filed under the name Conocybe velutipes. Its description in RNAcentral is "partial internal transcribed spacer region". The stretch from base 1 to 46 matches the Rfam family "Eukaryotic small subunit ribosomal RNA", at positions 1786 to 1831 of the family's 1831-position model. The record is from RNAcentral. Lineage: Eukaryota; Fungi; Basidiomycota; Agaricomycetes; Agaricales; Bolbitiaceae.
AAGUCGUAACAAGGUUUCCGUAGGUGAACCUGCGGAAGGAUCAUUACAGAGUAAACUUGGUGGGCUGUUGCUGGCUCUCAAUUGAGCAUACGUGCACGCCUGUCAUCUUUAUCUUUCCACCAUGUGCACUUUUUGUAGGUCUGAAUUGGACAAUAAGCCCUAGGCCCCUUGUUGGGCUAGUGGAAAGUUGCUGAUGACAUCAGCUCUUUCUGUUACUGGCUGUCUCUUUCCUAGGCUCUACGAUUAUCUAUAUACACCAUGUAUGUCAAUGAACGCAAUCAAUGGGCCUUUAAAAAGCCUAUAAACCUAUAAUACAACUUUCAGCAACGGAUCUCUUGGCUCUC